ACGGAUGGUGCGAGCGUUAAUCGGAAUCACUGGGCAUAAAGAGCACGUAGGCGGCGGCGUAAGUCAGUGGUGAAAUCCCCCGGCUCAACCGGGGAACGGCCAUUGAUACUGCGUUGCUAGAGUGCGGGAGGGGCAGACGGAAUUCCAGGUGGAGCGGUGAAAUGCGUAGAUAUCUGGAGGAACGCCAGGGGCGAAAGCGGUCUGCUGGCCCGCAACUGACGCUGAGGUGCGAAAGCUAGGGGAGCAAACAGG
This 252-nucleotide ribosomal RNA is filed under the name uncultured bacterium. Its description in RNAcentral is "partial 16S ribosomal RNA". It matches the Rfam family "Bacterial small subunit ribosomal RNA", at positions 525 to 776 of the family's 1533-position model. The record is from RNAcentral.